This 480-nucleotide ribosomal RNA is filed under the name uncultured bacterium. RNAcentral's name for it is "bacterial SSU rRNA". It matches the Rfam family "Bacterial small subunit ribosomal RNA", at positions 28 to 507 of the family's 1533-position model. The record is from RNAcentral.
GACGAACGCUGGCGGCGUGGAUUAGGCAUGCAAGUCGAGCGCGAAAGUCCCCUUCGGGGGAUGAGUAGAGCGGCAAACGGGUGAGUAACACGUGAGUAACCUGUCCUUGGGUGGGGGAUAACCCCGGGAAACCGGGGCUAAUACCGCAUGACGUUGUUCCCACAAAAGUGGGAAUAACCAAAGGGGGGGACCGUUCGGGCCGUCCCGCCUGAGGAGGGGCGUCGCGCCUGAUUAGCUAGUUGGUGGGGUGACGGCUCACCAAGGCGAAGACGGGUAGCCGGUCUGAGAGGAUGGCCGGCCACACUGGAACUGAGACACGGUCCAGACUCCUACGGGAGGCAGCAGUGGGGAAUAUUGGGCAAUGGGGGAGACCCUGACCCAGCGACGCCGCGUGAGGGAUGAAGGUUUUCGGGUUGUAAACCUCUGUCCUUGGGGACGAUAAUGACGGUACCCGAGGAGGAAGCUCCGGCUAACUACGUG